Molecule: long non-coding RNA, 514 nt
Organism: Musa acuminata AAA Group (dessert banana)
Lineage: Eukaryota; Viridiplantae; Streptophyta; Magnoliopsida; Zingiberales; Musaceae
Exons: 2
Source: RefSeq, a predicted model, not a curated record
UCGGGUUAUCGGAGGACGAAAGCUUCGUCUCUUUCCCUAGCAGGUAGGUGGUCGAAACGAAAGGCAAGAAAUAUAAGUGUAACGAACGGCUCCGGUGAACCCUUUAUAGUAAGCUUUCCUGCGAAGAGUGCCUGCAUAGGGUUUCUAUUCGAGAUCGAGAGAGACGGGUACGUCAUCAUUUCCUCACCACCAGAAUGGAGAAGAUGGGCGCCGCCGACGCACAGAUCGAGGAUCUCUUCGUCAGCAAGAAGCCCAUCAAGAACCCUCUCGUCCCCAUCGGUCUAGUUAGCUUCAGGCAAGGAAAUUCUCAGCUGGGACAGAAGCUGAUGAGGGCACGAGUUGUAUUUCAAGGUGCAACAGUUGCAUUGAUGGUUGGCAGUGCUUACUACUAUGGUGAGACCUUUAGGGGUUCUAAGAACAAAAAUUAAAUGAUAUAAAGAUGGCUUGCAGGCAUCUUUCAUCUAUGACUGAGUUUUUAUUGGCAUCAAAAUAAUUUAUUACACAUUUUCUUUCA